ACAGCUACUACUGCUUCUCUUAAGCAAGAAUACUUCAUCUGCUUUUUCUCCACUAGUUUUGGGCUUAGAAUUUGAAUGGGAAAAAACUUCACUUUUUUUAUCUUUUUCUAUCAAGAAUGAAAUGAGACCAACACUGCCUACCUCAACAGGACCAGAAUUGUGAUUGGAAGAGAUCUCAGAACAAGAGCAAGAAGAAAGCCUUUGUUCUCCACAGUCUGAGCAGACCAGCUUGACUAAACGAUCUUUGAG
This 249-nucleotide unclassified non-coding RNA is filed under the name Hevea brasiliensis (rubber tree). Lineage: Eukaryota; Viridiplantae; Streptophyta; Magnoliopsida; Malpighiales; Euphorbiaceae. The record is from RNAcentral.